AUACGUUGUAUAAUUCAGGUACGA
This 24-nucleotide non-coding RNA is filed under the name Arabidopsis thaliana (thale cress). The record is from RNAcentral. Lineage: Eukaryota; Viridiplantae; Streptophyta; Magnoliopsida; Brassicales; Brassicaceae.